AAGCAAAGCAAAGCCUUCCCGUUUCCUAGUUGUAGUUGCCUCUCCCCUCCCGCUAAUCAAAUCCCAGGACCGAAUUAACAAGGGAAAGAGAGACAGCAAGAAGAAAACCCUCCCGUGCAGAUCAGAUCGGCAGAUUGCUUCGAAGCAAACCUUUGACUCCUCGACCGAUCGAGCAAGCAAGCAACUCGACCUACCUAUUUACGGAUCACCACGCGCUCGGACGGAUCGAGCACGGAUCACCUACCUAUUGAUCGAUUUCGUCCGAAGCCUGCGGCUGUGUGCAAGCAUGCUGGAGCUACUGCUGGUGGGGUGCAGCAGCGUGGUGCUGCUCCUCCACGGCGCCAACUUCCUCCUCCGCGCGCUCUUCGCUCGCCGCGGCGCCGUCGCGCGCCCCAUCAGCUUCCUCGGGUUCGUCGCGUGAGGGACCACCGAUCGAUCGAUCGAUCUCGCCAAGGCCGGGGCCGACCGUCCGUCACGAUCCCGCACCGCGCGCGCGCGACGGAUCGGAGCGCGAACAACAUGCCGUGCACCGUACACCGAUCGACCAACCGGCCGUGCCCUUCGAUCUCUCUCUCAUGUGUAUAUAAUCUGUGAAAGACCGACCUGUGCGGGCUCGGUCGUGCGUUGAGCAGUCCAUGUAUGCAUUCAGUAGGUUAGCUAGCAGUAGAAGAAGCAGACUCCUUUCAAAAAAAAAAAAAAACAGAGAGACAAGAAGCAGCAGCAGACUGUAUAGCACUACCAACUUGAUGCAUGAUUGGUUAUUAUU
This 766-nucleotide small RNA is filed under the name Oryza sativa Japonica Group (Japanese rice). RNAcentral describes it as "sRNA Os01g0678900". Lineage: Eukaryota; Viridiplantae; Streptophyta; Magnoliopsida; Poales; Poaceae. The record is from RNAcentral.